CGCGGGGCUCGCUCGUGCACCCUACGACCGGUUCUGUCUUUGCUGACAGACUUCUCAUCUACAGUUUGCGGAGCAGGCUGAAAUAAACGCCGAAGAAAAGAGUUCUCAGGUUUCAGCUGGUUGAGAAUCUUGGUGGCUUAAUCUGUGGGAUCUCUUAAAGUUAAUAAGAGAAGGGGUUCCGGGUUCAAGCCUUGGUCCGGGAAGAUCCCACAUGCUGUGGAGCAACUCAGCCCGUGCGCCACAACUACUGAGCCCGCGAACCACAACUACUGAGCCCACGUGCCACAACUACUGAAGCCCAUGCCUAGAGCCCGUGCUCCGCAGCAAGAGAAACCAGCGCAAUGAGAAGCCCAUGCACCGCAACGAAGAGUAGCCCCCGCUCCCCGCAACUAGAGAAGACCUGCACACAGUAACGAAGACC
Physeter macrocephalus (sperm whale) is the source of this 421-nucleotide long non-coding RNA. RefSeq lists it as uncharacterized. The record is from RefSeq and is a predicted model, not a curated record. The transcript is spliced from 3 exons. NCBI's taxonomy places the organism in Eukaryota, Metazoa, Chordata, Mammalia, Artiodactyla, Physeteridae.